CGCUCAUCCAGAGUGGUGGAGGGACCGGCCCUGCGAAGCCCGGCAACCAGCGCGCUCGGCGCGCCAGGUGCCAAUGCCGGCGGACGAGAUGUCCGCACGAUGAGCG
Molecule: non-coding RNA, 106 nt
Filed under: Sphaerobacter thermophilus
Lineage: Bacteria; Pseudomonadati; Thermomicrobiota; Thermomicrobia; Sphaerobacterales; Sphaerobacteraceae
Also listed under: 1 other name
Description: SAM-I sequence
Rfam family: SAM riboswitch aptamer (S box leader)
About the family: The SAM riboswitch is found upstream of a number of genes which code for proteins involved in methionine or cysteine biosynthesis in Gram-positive bacteria. The SAM riboswitch acts at the level of transcription termination control. The predicted structure consists of a complex stem-loop region followed by a single stem loop terminator region.
Source: RNAcentral